Molecule: long non-coding RNA, 362 nt
Filed under: Salvia miltiorrhiza (redroot sage)
Lineage: Eukaryota; Viridiplantae; Streptophyta; Magnoliopsida; Lamiales; Lamiaceae
Description: long non-coding RNA (SMIL_LNC006137)
Source: RNAcentral
AUCCAUCAUGAAAAAUAUUGUACAAAAUCAACAAUAUUUAAUAUCCAUCAUGAAAAUCAAGUCAUCAAAAUAUCAAAAUAAACAAAUCUCAAUGCAUGAGUCUACGAGAACAAGUCUUCCCCAAUCCAAAUUACAUUUCCUACGAAUAAAAGUCAUCAUCCAUGGCACAGCUACUUUCAACAUCAUCGACAUCCUAAAAAAAUGAAGAAAAAAAUAUUUAGAGCAAAACAAAAUGAUCUCAAUAAUAGAAGUUUAAAACAUAUGUAAAUUAAUAACCAUAUCAAUAAUAUCAAUUUGUUCUUCUCCAUCUUCAUCAUAAUCUUCAUUAACUGUGGAACAAGCACUUGUGUCAUCCAAUUCAC